AAAUAAAUAAAACAUAGUACACUAUAAAUGGGAUCAAAUAUUUUUGUUAAGGUUUCCAGGUUCAAGGUGCUGUUUAUAACUGCAUGACCUGUCAGUACGACUCCUGUGAGUUCCCGCUGGAUUGCCCCGGAGAGAACGAUGUUGAUGGAUCGGUUUGACGAGGUCACAGUUGGAGUUGAUCCACUUUACUUCAUCCCCUCUGCCCGGCCUGAGCACUCAGGCACCUACCAGUGUGAAAUAUUCUCUCAGGAGCACUCACUCGUCCGUAUCUACUACUACCUCACAGUAGUCCCUAUGGCACAGAUAGGCCAUGCAGAACUACAGGAUGUCUUUGAACAGGCUCUCCUCCCAGGAGGCCAAUUCCCUCCACUGUCCUCUACAGAUCCAUUCACCUUAUGGCUGCCCAGUCCUGCCCUUGUCACCACCUGUCUGACUGCAAUGCUUCUGCUGGUCUUCCUUAGUCUAGGGGCGCUACAUUGGUUAUCUUAUCAGACUGGGAACAAUGAGUCUGAUCCAGCCCAGGAAACAAAACUCACAGAAAAGAAGAAAUAUUUGAUUCACUGCUAACAAGAGAAAUGCAAUAAAAUAUUAAGGCACAACUUGUUUCACCGGUAAGGCAUUUCUAUUUGAUUUCGG
Molecule: long non-coding RNA, 636 nt
Organism: Sinocyclocheilus anshuiensis
Lineage: Eukaryota; Metazoa; Chordata; Actinopteri; Cypriniformes; Cyprinidae
Source: Ensembl